GCAAGAUUAAAACUCAAAGGAAUAGAUGGGGACCCGCACAAGCGGUGGAGCAUGUGGUUUAAUUCGACGAUACGCGAAGAACCUUACCUGGCCUUGACAUAGAAAGAACUUUCCAGAGACGGAUUGGUGCUAGUUUACUAGAGCUUUCAUACAGGUGCUGCACGGCUGUCGUCAGCUCGUGUCGUGAGAUGUUGGGUUAAGUCCCGCAACGAGCGCAACCCUCGUGUUUAGUUACUAACAGUUCGGCUGAGGACUCUAAACAGACUGCCUGGGUAACCAGGAGGAAGGUGAGGACGACGUCAAGUCAUCAUGGCCCUUACGGCCAGGGCUACACACGUGCUACAAUGGGGUAUACAAAGAGCUGCAAUACGGUGACGUGGAGCAAAUCUCAUAAAAUAUCUCCCAGUUCGGAUUGAAGUCUGCAACUCGACUUCAUGAAGUUGGAAUCGCUAGUAAUCGUAGAUCAGCAAUGCUACGGUGAAUACGUUCCCGGGUCUUGUACUCACCGCCCGUCACACCAUGGGAAUUGAAUUCAUUCGAAGCGGGGAUGCUAAAAUAGCUACCUUCCACAGUGGAUUUAGUAACUAGGGUGAAGUCGUAACAAGGUA
RNAcentral lists this ribosomal RNA (608 nucleotides) under uncultured bacterium. RNAcentral describes it as "bacterial SSU rRNA". It matches the Rfam family "Bacterial small subunit ribosomal RNA", at positions 888 to 1498 of the family's 1533-position model. The record is from RNAcentral.